Non-coding RNA from Patiria miniata (bat star), 74 nucleotides. The record is from the annotation of a RefSeq genome assembly. NCBI's taxonomy places the organism in Eukaryota, Metazoa, Echinodermata, Asteroidea, Valvatida, Asterinidae.
GGGGAUAUAGCUCAGUUGCGUAGAGCGUGUGACUUAUAAUCACAAGGCCCAGGGUUCGAGUCCCUGUAUCUCCA